Molecule: ribosomal RNA, 463 nt
Filed under: uncultured bacterium
Lineage: Bacteria
Description: partial 16S ribosomal RNA
Rfam family: Bacterial small subunit ribosomal RNA
Source: RNAcentral
AGUGAACGCUGGCGGCGUGCUUAAUACAUGCGAGUCGAACGAUGAAGUCCUAGCUUGCUAGGAUGGAUUAGUGGCGCACGGGUGAGUAAUAUAUAGUUAAUCUGCCUUGCACUGAGGAACAACAGUUGGAAACGAUUGCUAAUACCUCAUACUCCAACUUUACAUAAGUUAAGUUGGGAAAGUCUUUUCGGUGCAAGAUGAGACUAUAUCGUAUCAGCUAGUUGGUAAGGUAAUGGCUUACCAAGGCUAUGACGCGUAACUGGUCUGAGAGGAUGAUCAGUCACAUUGGAACUGAGACACGGUCCAAACUCCUACGGGAGGCAGCAGUAAGGAAUAUUGUGCAAUGGGGGAAACCCUGACGCAGCAACGCCGCGUGGAGGAUGACACUUUUCGGAGCGUAAACUCCUUUUGUUAGGGAAGAAUAAUGACGGUACCUAACGAAUAAGCACCGGCUAACUCCGUG